UUUACUCCUACGGGAGGCAGCAGUAGGGAAUCUUCCACAAUGGACGAAAGUCUGAUGGAGCAACGCCGCGUGAGUGAAGAAGGCUUUCGGCUCGUAAAACUCUGUUGUUAGGAGAAGAACACUUUUGAGAGUAUACUGUUCAGACAGUGACGUUCCCAACCAGAAGCAAGUUC
Molecule: ribosomal RNA, 173 nt
Filed under: uncultured bacterium
Lineage: Bacteria
Description: partial 16S ribosomal RNA
Rfam family: Bacterial small subunit ribosomal RNA
Source: RNAcentral